UCUUAACAGGAGGUAAGGCGCGGUGCGGUCGGCUUCAGCCUUCGGGUUGGGGUCGGUUCGUGCCCCUUGCCUUCUGGCGGUUGGAUUGGUAGAAGUACUUAGA
Molecule: ribosomal RNA, 103 nt
Filed under: Balamuthia mandrillaris
Lineage: Eukaryota; Discosea; Longamoebia; Balamuthiidae
Description: partial small subunit ribosomal RNA
Source: RNAcentral